GGGGCUGUAGCUCAGUUGGAUAGAGCGUUCGGCUACGAACCGAGAGGUCGGGGGUUCGAAUCCUCCCAGCCCCGCCA
RNAcentral lists this transfer RNA (77 nucleotides) under Natronospira bacteriovora. Its description in RNAcentral is "tRNA-Arg". It matches the Rfam family "tRNA". From Rfam's summary of the family: Transfer RNA (tRNA) molecules are approximately 80 nucleotides in length. Lineage: Bacteria; Pseudomonadati; Pseudomonadota; Gammaproteobacteria; Natronospirales; Natronospiraceae. The record is from RNAcentral.